CUACGGGCCGCUGCAGUAGGGAAUUUUCGACAAUGGGGGGAACCCUGAUGCAGCAACGCCGCGUGGAGGAUGACGCAUUUCGGUGUGUAAACUCCUUUUAUAUGUCAAGAAAAUGACGGUAGCAUAUGAAUAAGCACCGGCUAACUCCGUGCCAGCAGCCGCGGUAAUACGGAGGGUGCAAGCGUUACUCGGAAUCACUGGGCGUAAAGGACGCGUAGGCGGGUUGGAAAGUCAGGUGUGAAAUCCUACAGCUUAACUGUAGAACUGCACUUGAAACUUCUAAUCUAGAGUAUGGGAGGGGGAGAUGGAAUUAGUGGUGUAGGGGUAACAUCCGUAGAUAUCACUAGGAAUACCUAAAGCGAAGGCGAUCUCCUGGAACAUUACUGACGCUAAGGCGUGAAAGCGUGGGGAGCAAACAGGAUUAGAUACCCUCGUAGUC
This 439-nucleotide ribosomal RNA is filed under the name uncultured bacterium. RNAcentral's name for it is "partial 16S ribosomal RNA". It matches the Rfam family "Bacterial small subunit ribosomal RNA", at positions 339 to 795 of the family's 1533-position model. The record is from RNAcentral.